Molecule: ribosomal RNA, 253 nt
Filed under: uncultured bacterium
Lineage: Bacteria
Description: partial 16S ribosomal RNA
Rfam family: Bacterial small subunit ribosomal RNA
Source: RNAcentral
UACGUAGGGGGCAAGCGUUGUCCGGAAUCAUUGGGCGUAAAGAGCGUGUAGGCGGCCAGAUAAGUCCGCUGUGAAAUCUCGAGGCUCAACUUCGAGCUGUCGGUGGAAACUGUCUGGCUAGAGUCCGGAAGAGGAGAAUGGAAUUCCUGGUGUAGCGGUGAAAUGCGCAGAUAUCAGGAAGAACACCCGUGGCGAAGGCGGGUCUCUGGACAGUUCCUGACACUGAGGCACGAAGGCCAGGGGAGCAAACGGG